CAAGAUGGGCAUGCGGAACAUUAGCUAGUUGGUAAGGUAACGGCUUACCAAGGCUACGAUGUUUAGGGGAUCUGAGAGGAUGACCCCCCACACUGGUACUGAGACACGGACCAGACUCCUACGGGAGGCAGCAGUAAGGAAUAUUGGUCAAUGGGCGCAAGCCUGAACCAGCCAUGCCGCGUGCAGGAAGACGGCCCUAUGGGUUGUAAACUGCUUUUAUACUGGAAUAAACCUUUGGUCGUGACCGAAGCUGAAUGUACAGUAAGAAUAAGGAUCGGCUAACUCCGUGCCAGCAGCCGCGGUAAUACGGAGGAUCCAAGCGUUAUCCGGAUUUAUUGGGUUUAAAGGGUGCGUAGGUGGUUCUUUAAGUCAGGGGUGAAAGACGGCAGCUUAACUGUCGCAGUGCCUUUGAUACUGAAGAACUUGAAUCCACUAGAGGUGGGCGGAAUGUGACAAGUAGCGGUGAAAUGCAUAGAUAUGUCACAGAACACCAAUUGCGAAGGCAGCUUACUAUGGUGGUAUUGACACUGAGGCACGAAAGCGUGGGGAUCAAACAGGAUUAGAUACCCUGGUAGUCCACGCCCUAAACGAUGAAUACUCGAUGUUGGCGAUAUACGGUCAGCGUCUAAGCGAAAGCGUUAAGUAUUCCACCUGGGGAGUACGCCCGCAAGGGUGAAACUCAAAGGAAUUGACGGGGGCCCGCACAAGCGGAGGAGCAUGUGGUUUAAUUCGAUGAUACGCGAGGAACCUUACCCGGGCUUGAAAGUUAGUGAAUAAAGCAGAGACGCUUUAGUCCUUCGGGACACGAAACUAGGUGCUGCAUGGCUGUCGUCAGCUCGUGCCGUGAGGUGUUGGGUUAAGUCCCGCAACGAGCGCAACCCCUAUGUUUAGUUGCCAGCACGUCAAGGUGGGGACUCUAAACAGACUGCC
Molecule: ribosomal RNA, 930 nt
Filed under: uncultured Bacteroidota bacterium
Lineage: Bacteria; Pseudomonadati; Bacteroidota
Description: bacterial SSU rRNA
Rfam family: Bacterial small subunit ribosomal RNA
Source: RNAcentral